UGGGGGAUAUUGCACAAUGGGCGAAAGCCUGAUGCAGCGACGCCGCGUGGGGGAUGAAGGCCUUCGGGUUGUAAACUUCUUUUGCUCUGAACAAGGCAUGCUAAUGGGUGUGUUGAGUGUAGGGGUUGAUUAGCGCCGGCUAACUACGUGCCAGCAGCCGCGGUAAUACGUAGGGCGCGAGCGUUGUCCGGUAUUAUUGGGCGUAAAGGGCUUGUAGGUGGCUGGUUGCGUCUGUCGUGAAAGCUCAUGGCUUAACUGUGGGUUUGCGGUGGGUACGGGCUGGCUUGAGUGCAGUAGGGGAGGCUGGAAUUCCUGGUGUAGCGGUGGAAUGCGCAGAUAUCAGGAGGAAUACCGGUGGCGAAGGCGGGGCUCUGGGCUGUUACUGACACUGAGGAGCGAAAGCAUGGGGAGCGAACAGG
RNAcentral lists this ribosomal RNA (419 nucleotides) under bacterium. Its description in RNAcentral is "partial 16S ribosomal RNA". It matches the Rfam family "Bacterial small subunit ribosomal RNA", at positions 355 to 776 of the family's 1533-position model. The record is from RNAcentral.